GGUGCUGUGGCUCAGUGGUAGAGGGCUUGCCUAGAAAGUGUGAGGCAAUGGGUUCAAUCCUCAGCACCA
Non-coding RNA from Ictidomys tridecemlineatus (thirteen-lined ground squirrel), 69 nucleotides. NCBI's taxonomy places the organism in Eukaryota, Metazoa, Chordata, Mammalia, Rodentia, Sciuridae. The record is from Rfam.